CCUACGGGUGGCAGCAGUGGGGAAUAUUGCACAAUGGGGGAAACCCUGAUGCAGCGACGCCGCGUGAGUGAAGAAGUAAUUCGUUAUGUAAAGCUCUAUCAGCAGGGAAGAAAAUGACGGUACCUGAGUAAGAAGCCCCGUCUAACUACGUGCCAGCAGCCGCGGUAAUACGUAGGGGGCAAGCGUUAUCCGGAUUUACUGGGUGUAAAGGGAGCGUAGACGGCAGUGCAGGUCUGGAGUGAAAGGGGGGGGCUCAACCCCCGGACUGCUCUUGAAACUGUACGGCUGGAGUGCAGGAGAGGUUAGUGGAAUUCCUGGUGUAGCGGUGAAAUGCGGAGAUAUUAGGAGGAACACCAGUGGCGAAGGCGGCUUACUGGACUGUAACUGACGUUGAGGCUCGAAAGCGUGGGGAGCAAACAGGAUUAGAUACCCUUGUAGUC
Molecule: ribosomal RNA, 440 nt
Filed under: uncultured bacterium
Lineage: Bacteria
Description: partial 16S ribosomal RNA
Rfam family: Bacterial small subunit ribosomal RNA
Source: RNAcentral